This 459-nucleotide ribosomal RNA is filed under the name uncultured bacterium. RNAcentral's name for it is "partial 16S ribosomal RNA". It matches the Rfam family "Bacterial small subunit ribosomal RNA", at positions 338 to 795 of the family's 1533-position model. The record is from RNAcentral.
CCUACGGGAGGCAGCAGUGAGGAAUAUUGGUCAAUGGUCGGGAGACUGAACCAGCCAAGCCGCGGGAGGGAUGAAGGUACAGAGUAUCGUCAACCUCUUUUGUCAGGGAACAAAGGCGGGGCCGUGUCCCCGGAUGAGUGUACCUGAAGAAAAAGCAUCGGCUACCUCCGUGCCAGACGCCGCUGUAAUACGGAGGAUGCGAGCGUUAUCCGGAUUUACUGGGUUUAAAGGGUGCGCAGGCGGUCUGUUAAGUCAGCGGUACAAGCCCGGGGCUCAACCCCGGCCCGCCGUUGAAACUGGCAGUGGCGAGUUGGAGAGAAGUAUGCGGAAUGGGCGGUGUAGCGGUGAAAUGCAUAGCUAUCGCGCAGAACUCCGAUUGCGAAGGCAGCAUGCCGGCUCCACACUGACGCUGAGGCACGAAAGCGUGGGUAUCGAACAGGAUUAGAUACCCUGGUAGUC